RNAcentral lists this ribosomal RNA (94 nucleotides) under Thesium capituliflorum. RNAcentral describes it as "partial 28S ribosomal RNA". The record is from RNAcentral. Lineage: Eukaryota; Viridiplantae; Streptophyta; Magnoliopsida; Santalales; Thesiaceae. RNAcentral also lists the same sequence under 3 other names.
UCUCACCGACCCAAUGGCUUCAUUCGCCUUGCGCGGAGGGGCUCACUAUGCGACCCCAGGUCAGGCGGGGCUACCCGCUGAGUUUAAGCAUAUC